RNAcentral lists this ribosomal RNA (301 nucleotides) under uncultured bacterium. RNAcentral's name for it is "partial 16S ribosomal RNA". It matches the Rfam family "Bacterial small subunit ribosomal RNA", at positions 509 to 807 of the family's 1533-position model. The record is from RNAcentral.
CAGCCGCCGCGGUAAUACCGAGGGUGCGAGCGUUAAUCGGAUUUACUGGGCGUAAAGCGUGCGUAGGCGGCUUUUUAAGUCGGAUGUGAAAUCCCUGAGCUUAACUUAGGAAUUGCAUUCGAUACUGGGAAGCUAGAGUAUGGGAGAGGAUGGUAGAAUUCCAGGUGUAGCGGUGAAAUGCGUAGAGAUCUGGAGGAAUACCGAUGGCGAAGGCAGCCAUCUGGCCUAAUACUGACGCUGAGGUACGAAAGCAUGGGGAGCAAACAGGAUUAGAUACCCGUGUAGUCCCUGUCUCUUAUAC